RNAcentral lists this ribosomal RNA (515 nucleotides) under uncultured bacterium. RNAcentral describes it as "partial 16S ribosomal RNA". It matches the Rfam family "Bacterial small subunit ribosomal RNA", at positions 28 to 523 of the family's 1533-position model. The record is from RNAcentral.
GACGAACGCUGGCGGCGUGCCUAAUACAUGCAAGUCGAGCGGACUUUCAAGAAGCUUGCUUUUUGAAAGUUAGCGGCGGACGGGUGAGUAACACGUGGGCAACCUGCCUGUAAGACGGGGAUAACUCCGGGAAACCGGGGCUAAUACCGGAUAAUAUCUUUCUUCGCAUGAAGGAAGGUUGAAAGGCGGCGCAAGCUGCCGCUUGCAGAUGGGCCCGCGGCGCAUUAGCUAGUUGGUGAGGUAACGGCUCACCAAGGCGACGAUGCGUAGCCGAACUGAGACGGUGAUCGGCCACACUGGGACUGAGAAACGGCCCAGACUCCUACGGGAGGCAGCAGUAGGGAAUCUUCCGCAAUGGACGAAAGUCUGACGGAGCAAAGCCGCGUGAGCGAAGAAGGUCUUCGGAUCGUAAAGCUCUGUUGUCAGGGAAGAACAAGUACCGUUCGAAUAGGGCGGUACCUUGACGGUACCUGACCAGAAAGCCACGGCUAACUACGUGCCAGCCGCCGCCGUAA